This is a non-coding RNA of Dermacentor albipictus, 4125 nucleotides long. Lineage: Eukaryota; Metazoa; Arthropoda; Arachnida; Ixodida; Ixodidae. The record is from RefSeq and is a predicted model, not a curated record.
UCUUUGAAAUGAGCUGGAAGGACAUCUCGGACCUCAAAGAUUGCGUGGUGUCGACACUACGAUGAAAGUGCUGUGCGCGCUGCGGUUUUUUGCCACCGGGAGCUUUCAACAGUGCGUCGGGAAUGAAGAAGCGAUUGCACUGUCGUAGCCUUCGGUCAGCCGGAUCAUUACAGCCGUCGCCAAGGCCAUUACGGUUGUGGGCAAGGAAAAAGGAUGGGUUAGAUUCCCAUCCACGGCGCAACAGAAAGCCGCCGUCAAGGAAGGCUUUCUUAGCCGUGGAAAAAUUCCAGGAGUUCUAGGAUGUGUGGACGGGAGUCUGAUAGCCAUCGUUCGCCCUAAGAAGCUCGGCCCCGGCGAAACGGAAUCGUACUGGAGCCGUAAAGGGUAUUACACCCUCAACUGCAUGAUCGUGAGUAUUGUUCAUUGACAAAUAUUUUCGAUAUGUGUUUGCGCGAGUGCACGUUGUAAAAAACUUCGUUUCGUUAUUUUUCAUCAAUUGCCGGUAAUACUUGCGUUCCUAUUAGAGAAAGUAGCGUUUGUGUUGUAUGUGUAAUGACGACUUUGAUCUUUGCAUAGAACACGGCCGCACUUUUUCAGUGCUCUCCAAUCACAGUUGAAUAGCCUUUUCGAUGCUACAAUGUAAACACAUUACGCGCGACUUAAACCGGAAUAGACGCCGUAGCAGUGAAGGGAGUCUUCGUCUGCGAGCGAUCCUAACAGAAGACGAGCCCUUGUGAUUCUUAUUCGACGUAAAACUAAAGCAUUGUGGCCAACAGACUGUAAACGCGAAAAGGAGCAUCCCAUCAAUGAAAAUGGUGUGAGGGAGAAUGAGAAUGUGUGGACACCCAUUUGCUCUAGCUGUCAAUACGGCACAUGCUGUUUCCGCGUUCUUUCGCUUGUAAUAGGCACUUUGUCUGAAAAAAAAAACACAGGUGGCACUCUUUAGCAGAAUCUUGUACAAUAUGGACGGAAGAAACCAAAGGAAUUAUUUUGCACAUUGUGUUGUUACCGUAUGCCAUACAUGAGCAUGUGAACACAUGCCAACAUUGCAUUUGUAGGUUAAGAUGACAUUGUUAUCAUGCUGAUCAUUAGUUCAACUGCCUACUGCGUAUGUUGAUAUCUCCUUUUCUGUAAUUGUGUUCACUGACUGAACAGUAACUGAUUGGCAAGUAGUGUUGUAAGCAAAAGGUUGUGCCAGAUAUUUGUUGCAGUGGCACUGACACCUUCUCUUUGCUUUCCCUUAUGAGGUGUGCGACGCGAAGCUGAAUAUCCUGGAAAUUGACCCACGGUUUCCGGGAUCGUGCCACGAUUCUUUCGUCUGGAGGCAUUCUGCAUUUCGCCGCCGCCUCACUCGUGGCCUGUUACUUCAUGGAGAAGUCUUGCUUGGGGACUCUGGGUACCCGCUAGAGCCAUGGAUCAUGACUCCUGUGCCUGGUCACCCAAAUCGCCUCACGGCAGAGGGGCGCUAUAAUGAGGCACACGCAUCAAUGCGAAAUGCCGUUGAGCGGUGCAUAGGAGUCGUCAAGAGCCGCUUCCGAUGCCUGCAGAGGUAUCGGGUGCUCCACUACUCGCCUCGGAAAGCAGCCACUAUUGUUGCAGCUUGUGCAGCGCUGCAUAACCUCUGCCUUGCAGCAGGCGUGCCUCUGCCAGAUGACCCAGAUGACGACGGUGCACAUGACGACAGCGCACAGGGGCCAGCCCAGGCACAAGUGCCGCUUCAAGUACAGGUGCCGCCGCAGGCGCACCCUGUACAGCCUUCUCGAGCUUUGUUUCAAAGAGGCCGUGCGGUGCGCGAAUCCAUAGUUGGUGUGUUUCGGCUGCCCAGAAAUUUGCGCAUUGCCUACCUGCAAAGUGUGCGCCGGCGCAUUCGCUGGCAAAUGAGGCGGAGACAUGUGCUGGUGUAACAUGUUUUAUUUUUCUUUUCAUGAAGUAAAUAGGCCGUGCACUUCAACAUAACACAUUGCGUGUGCUCACAUGUGGCUAAUCGUAGUAUGCUGCAUACUGCGGUAGUGAAAAGCACAUGAUUUGUCUAUGUUGAGCAUGACAGAUACACAUGCAGUGACAAAUAACCAUGUGCCAUUAUGUUACUCCUUUGCUUUGUUCACUGUGCUUUUGAAUAUUGUCUCGCCAGGGAAUUUUCUUUAAAUAAAGGUUAUUUCCAAGGUGAAUGGCAACCAAUCUUGCAUUGUUGAAUAUUGCUUUGCGAUGCCUAUUUUACUGUGCAGUAUGCAUUGUUCCAAAGCUGAAGGUGUCUGUUCAUGUGUGACACACAAGCACAGCACAAGUUACACAGCAACUGAAAUGUCGUUCAGAGCAAUCUGUAUAGCACAUAUUGAAACGUAUAGCAACAAGCGAGACAUGCCAAGCACUUUUUGGAGCAGGAUUUCUUUAAAUAGCAGACACUCAUGCUUCCUACUGCUUUGUUUAAACUCAAGAGUUGCUUCAACAUUGCAUUUCUUGCACGCAUGAUUUCACAUAAUGCUCGUAAUUGCUGCUUAACAAGGUGCAACUACGCUAUAACACAAUAUAAACAAAAUCAUGACAAUGAAACAUUUCUUUAUUUUAUUCAUUGGGUACCUGCUUCGCCAUUCAGGCAUUACAACAGGGAGGGUACAACUCAUACAAAUGGACACUCAAAAUUACAUUCAUAAAGCAUGGAAGAAAUCAUCAUUUGAACAAAUACAGACAGUGUCAGGUGGUAGAGUAUUUCAAUCCCUUAUAGUACGAACAUAGAAAGAGUAGCGGAAAGCGUCGCUUUUAACCCUCUAUUGCAUGGCGUCCCAUAUUUGGCACAUACCAGUUACCAUUCUUUUUUGCGUGUGCGAGAUUCCCAGUUGAGAAUGUGAUACCAUCAGAGUAAAUCUCAUAGUUAUGUGCACUUAUUAUGGGCAAAUGCUGCCAUCUCUUGAGCGAUACGCAAAACAGAGGUGAAGUAGAUUUUGGGAUGCGACGUGAAACUCUGAGGGGGCAAACACGAGCAAUUGUUUUUUUUUCUCUGAAAAUUUCGACCGCAGAAACAUAGAAAAAUUAUUUUGGCAUAUUUUUUGGUCUCGUCAAUUCAAGGCAGUUACUAGUUUUCUCAAUUUUGCCUGCAACUACAGCAGAGAAACCGAAAUCGGUGUGUGCCAUAUUUGGCACAGUAUGAACUUGAAAUACAAAAUAUGGUAACGUGCUGCCAUCUGUUCAAUAGCCCGAAGUUGCAGGUCACUCUAUCACAAGAUGGAAUUUUGACGAUCGGUACAGUAAGGGCGAAUUGUCUACCAAACAGCCGCCUGAAAAGCGAAAAGGAACUGAAAUGUAAAGGACGUGGUGCUUCAGAGGCACUCACAAGCGCGAUAGAUGACGUGGAGUUAUCGUGUGUGCAUUGAUGCGAUAACCGCGCCGUGACAUUUCUGUCGAGCUUUGUUGGGAGAGAUCCAGUCCAAAAGACUAAGCGCUGGUUUACCUCCGCCAAGGUGUUUCGCGAAAUUGAUUGCCCCAGCGUAGUAAAGGUCCAUAACAGGCACAUGGGUGGUGUUGACCUGCUGCACUCACUGUUUGGACUUUACUGCAUACAUAUCAGAGGUCGAAGAAAUGGCACUUUCGAAUUUUUACGCCUAUGCUAGACUUAUCGGUAGUAACAGCAUGGGUAUUGUACAGGAGGGUGCAGGAGCAGCUUAGGAGGAGACAAGUACUACCGCUGGCUCAUUUAAAAGCAGAAAUUGCAGAAUGCCUUACCUCGCAUAACAAGUGCCUACCCAACUAACGACCAGGAAGGACUUCUAGUCAGCACAUCGAAUUCCAGGUUCAAGUCAAAAAAGCACAGGGACCAGCGGCCGCAAUGCCACCCAAAGACGACCGAUCUGACCAAGUCGGCCACUGGCCAGAAUUUGACGAGAAGAAACAAAGAUGUAAGCGGCCACCUUGCACAAAGAAGUCAUUGGUAAGAUAGAGGAAGUGCAACAUUCAUCUGUGCCUGAACGCAGCAAACAACUGUUUCAUUUCAUUCCCCACAUCGCACUAAAAAGACCACCGUCCGUGAAGCUUUGUUUUCCGCCCAUGGCAGCAAGAGCGCUCAGCCAUCUUCAUGGUGUGCCAUAUUUGGCACAAAGCUUUAUCUUUAUUAUUACAGUCGUGUUUGUUCAU